UACGUAGGGAGCAAGCGUUGUCCGGAAUCAUUGGGCGUAAAGCGCGCGUAGGUGGCCCCAUAAGUCCGCUGUGAAAGUCAAAGGCUCAACCUUUGAAAGCCGGUGGAUACUGUGGGACUAGAGUACGGAAGAGGCGAGUGGAAUUCCUGGUGUAGCGGUGGAAUGCGCAGAUAUCAGGAGGAACACCGAUGGCGAAGGCAGCCCCCUGGGUCAAGACUGACGCUCAUGCACGAAAGCGUGGGGAGCAAACAGG
This 253-nucleotide ribosomal RNA is filed under the name uncultured bacterium. RNAcentral describes it as "partial 16S ribosomal RNA". It matches the Rfam family "Bacterial small subunit ribosomal RNA", at positions 524 to 776 of the family's 1533-position model. The record is from RNAcentral.